AGAUUAAGUUAUUAAGGGCGCACGGUGGAUGCCUUGGCACUAGAAGCCGAUGAAGGACGUUACUAACGACGAUAUGCUUUGGGGAGCUGUAAGUAAGCUUUGAUCCAGAGAUUUCCGAAUGGGGAAACCCAGCACGAGUUAUGUCGUGUUAUCUGCAUGUGAAUACAUAGCAUGCAAGAAGGCAGACCCGGAGAACUGAAACAUCUUAGUACCCGGAGGAAGAGAAAGAAAAAUCGAUUCCCUGAGUAGCGGCGAGCGAAACGGGAAGAGCCCAAACCAAUAAGCUUGCUUAUUGGGGUUGUAGGACACUCUGUACGGAGUUACAAAAGAAUUUGUUAGACGAAUAACCUGGAAAGGUUAAUCAUAGAAGGUAAUAAUCCUGUAGUCGAAAACAAAUUCUCUCUUGAGUGGAUCCUGAGUACGACGGAGCACGUGAAAUUCCGUCGGAAUCUGGGAGGACCAUCUCCUAAGGCUAAAUACUCUCUAGUGACCGAUAGUGAACCAGUACCGUGAGGGAAAGGUGAAAAGUACCCCGGAAGGGGAGUGAAAGAGAACUUGAAACCGUGUGCUUACAAGUAGUCAGAGCCCGUUAAUGGGUGAUGGCGUGCCUUUUGUAGAAUGAACCGGCGAGUUACGAUCUGAUGCAAGGUUAAGCAGAAAAUGUGGAGCCGUAGCGAAAGCGAGUCUGAAUAGGGCGAAUGAGUAUUUGGUCGUAGACCCGAAACCAGGUGAUCUACCCUUGGUCAGGUUGAAGUUCAGGUAACACUGAAUGGAGGACCGAACCGACUUACGUUGAAAAGUGAGCGGAUGAACUGAGGGUAGCGGAGAAAUUCCAAUCGAACUUGGAGAUAGCUGGUUCUCUCCGAAAUAGCUUUAGGGCUAGCCUCAAGUGAUGAUUAUUGGAGGUAGAGCACUGUUUGGACGAGGGGCCCCUCUCGGGUUACCGAAUUCAGACAAACUCCGAAUGCCAAAUAAUUUAACUUGGGAGUCAGAAUGUGGGUGAUAAGGUCCAUAUUCGAAAGGGAAACAGCCCAGACCACCAGCUAAGGUCCCAAAAUAUAUGUUAAGUGGAAAAGGAUGUGGCGUUGCCCAGACAACUAGGAUGUUGGCUUAGAAGCAGCCAUCAUUUAAAGAGUGCGUAAUAGCUCACUAGUCGAGUGACACUGCGCCGAAAAUGUACCGGGGCUAAACAUAUUACCGAAGCUGUGGAUUGUCCUUUGGACAAUGGUAGGAGAGCGUUCUAAGGGCGUUGAAGCAUGAUCGCAAGGACAUGUGGAGCGCUUAGAAGUGAGAAUGCCGGUGUGAGUAGCGAAAGACGGGUGAGAAUCCCGUCCACCGAUUGACUAAGGUUUCCAGAGGAAGGCUCGUCCGCUCUGGGUUAGUCGGGUCCUAAGCUGAGGCCGACAGGCGUAGGCGAUGGAUAACAGGUUGAUAUUCCUGUACCACCAUUAUUCGUUUUAAGCGAUGGGGGGACGCAGUAGGAUAGGCGAAGCGUGCUGUUGGAGUGCACGUCCAAGCAGUGAGAUUGAGUGUUAGGCAAAUCCGGCACUCUUAAGAUUGAGCUGUGAUGGGGAGAGGAACUUGUUCCUCGAGUCGUUGAUUUCACACUGCCGAGAAAAGCCUCUAGCUAGAAUAACGGUGCCCGUACCGCAAACCGACACAGGUAGUCAAGAUGAGAAUUCUAAGGUGAGCGAGCGAACUCUCGUUAAGGAACUCGGCAAAAUGACCCCGUAACUUCGGGAGAAGGGGUGCUCUUU
Molecule: ribosomal RNA, 1757 nt
Filed under: Staphylococcus delphini
Lineage: Bacteria; Bacillati; Bacillota; Bacilli; Caryophanales; Staphylococcaceae
Description: bacterial LSU rRNA
Rfam family: Bacterial large subunit ribosomal RNA
Source: RNAcentral